Molecule: ribosomal RNA, 312 nt
Filed under: Triticum aestivum (bread wheat)
Lineage: Eukaryota; Viridiplantae; Streptophyta; Magnoliopsida; Poales; Poaceae
Description: partial small subunit ribosomal RNA
Source: RNAcentral
AUGCUUGACCCUAUGUUCGACAAGGGCCAUCGUGCCCGUUUUAUUGAGAACGGAGUGAUGCUCCCGCCACUGCGGAUGAGGGGUCACGGGACGACGGUGAAGAUGGAGUACGACGAGCGGUACGCGCCGUUCUACAGGAGAGCCCGACUGCUGGCUUUUGUCCUGCAGUUCAAGCGCAAGUCGCCGACGCUCGUCCACUCAGCUCUCACGGCUUUGAUCGAUCGGUGGCGGCUAGAGACGCACUGCUUCCAUCUUCCAUGUGGGGAGAUGACGGUUACACUCAAGGAUUGGGAGAUGAUUACGGGCCUACCG